Non-coding RNA from Petromyzon marinus (sea lamprey), 2721 nucleotides. The record is from RefSeq and is a predicted model, not a curated record. Lineage: Eukaryota; Metazoa; Chordata; Hyperoartia; Petromyzontiformes; Petromyzontidae.
AGGGGUGAGAUGAUAGGGGAGAGAGGUAGGAGAGUGCGUGGAGGAGAUUAGAGUGAAAUGAGGUGGAAGUGGUAGGAGAGUGCGUGGAGGGGGAGUAGAGUGACAUGAGAAAGGAGAGCUAGGCAUAGAUAAGUCCAUGAAAAAUAUUGAAGACGUGAGUGUGAUGUUUGAGUUGAUCUGGGAUUGGAUUGGGAGCCAGUGGAGGGAUCGGAGUUUUGGGAUUCUGGCACCAGACUUUUUUAUCACCUGGAGUUUGGGGAUGAGGAAUUUUGCAAAUGUGUGUGAGGUGUGGGCGUGUGGAAUCGAAUGGAGAAAAAUCAGUUGUAUUGAAAGACAAAGGUAAUGAGGAAAAGCUAGAAUUGGUUCAGGAGGAGGCAUUUCCAAGUGGAACAUUUCAGAGAAAGCAGAUCUGGCGUGGCUCUAUUCAAUAAAUUCAAUCGGUCUUUAUUUACAUAGAUCACUUCACAUCAAUAAAGGAGUAUCAGAGUCACUUAAAUACUUCAGCAGUUUUUCUUGCUGUGGUUGUCUCACCUGAUGACGAUUGCUUGUGUUGCGAUCGAAAUGUUGUGAUCUAUUAUUUUGUCUACCCACGUGACUUUACCGAAAGAACCAAAGAGCAUGGAUUCCUGCAGUCACGAAAGCUUCAAAUCAAGAUUACUUUAAAUAAGUUGCAAUAUGCAUGAAAUCCUUCUGCUUAUAUUUAACAUACCAAACGUGUCAUAUGUCUUCGGUAAUGCAAUAAAAUAUUACCUCCUAUUGUAAUUAACACCGAUUUCUGAAAUUAAGAAAUUACACGGGGAGUGCAUAUUCCCAGGUCGCCACGAAUAUUUUCGCCUUAUCGCAGAUGAGCUAAAGAGACGGAGCUUUUAAUCGCGCGUUUUAAAUUUGCGAGAGAAGAGGGGGCUUUCUCCGUAGGAAGCUGUGCAAUGAAGGACGCUGCUGGAGCGGAACGCCAAUUGAGGAAGAGAAAGUGACAGUGCUGCUCCGUGACCUCAUAUGGAGGCGCAAAAACAAAACGAAGUGGAGAGUGCAAGAUCAGAGACGAUGGAAUGAACUUGAAGCGAGAAGCAGCUCUCAGGAACGGGAAACUCGGCGCAAAGUGUGGUGUAAAGGGAGGUGCUGCUGCCUUUGUAUUUCCCGCAUGGUGAUCGUGCUCCUUUCUGUUGGAGCGGCUGUGAUGCAGGACUCUGCUCUGAAAGGGGACUCUCCCACAUGCCCUGUGGCGUCUCCCAUAGCUUGUUCUCGGCGAUGUCAACUUGUUUGAGCCGCAUUGUCGGUGCCUUGGCCUAGAUGGUGGAGGGGGUGGCGGGGGGUCUCUUAAGUGGAAUAACACCUUCCGUGGCGUAGCGGCAGAGCCGAGAGUCGAUCGAGCGGUGUUCGCGGCGUUCGGUGGCUUCAAUCAAAAUUAGACACUGUGCGAAACUGGGCAAGACGCAGGUUUGGGAAGCCAGUGUCCCGUUGGCUGUGUGACCAUCGCAAGGAAGUAUUGACCAACUUGUGAGUGAGAGAUCGCGCGAGUGCUGAAUAUGCGCCAAAUCUCCCGGUACGCUUUGAAGUUUCGCGAUCAACCGCUUCGCCAGACGCAUUCUCACUCAUUGGAGCUGUUGUCAGGGCGCACCGUUAACAGGUAAAGGUGCAGCCCUGAAAUUUCUCGCUGACACCACUGCUUGGCGGAAGGGCUGCCACUACGGGGGGAGCUACAGAUUAUCCCCUCUGUGGCUCCCAGGCUUUGUGGACCUGUGCAUCAUUGGUUGGUGGUGGUAGGCAAAGGCAGUUUUAAUUAGACCACUGAAAACGUUUCCCGAUGCGUUUUCAGGGUCUUACCGCGUGUUGGUCGGGCAUGAUGACCCACGUUUUGCCCCCACCUGCUGGGAGCUUCUUAAUAUAAACUAAAUGGAACAGCUCACAUUUUCUCGAUUAUAAAAGUUUCUGGCUACAGCGGACGUUUAAUAAGUAAACACCAACAGCAGCAGCAUCAGCUGACAGCUCUAUAUAUUCAGUUUCUGAAGAAGCUCUCCAGCACGUGGAGCGAAACGUCGGACAUCGUGUUGAAUGACACGCGGUACGACCCGGAAACUCAUUGGAAAGCUACACAGCACAACCGCGGAAGCCUACGCAGUCGCUGAAAAAGGAGCUUGCCAUGCGCGUGGAAUGAUGUUCCUUUUAAAGUUUCGCUAAAUUUUAUAUUUUUAAUAAGGACGGACUUUCCCCCAGGCAAUGACAUGGAUCUUACUGGCACCUAGGAUUCCAGAUGUGUUAAUCAGCUGUGGGGUGGUUUGCUUCAGCAGGUCACACGGCUCUCCGUGCAGCGAAUGCGGAAACGUGCGGUGAUCCGCUCGCGUUUUGCUGCCGUCUCGUGCGGGAUUAAUGUAAGCGAUGUUAAAAUUUUAAACGGCUUUGAGAUUUUAACAAGGGGGUUAACCUCUCGCUGUGCUCUGUUGCCCCACGAUUUCAGAAGCGAGACCUUCAAACGCGGUUGACGGUGCGCAAAUUCACCCGCGGAAUCCAGCCUCGCGACCUGCGAGAGGUGCGCGCGAGCAACAGCAAAGCGACUCUCCUGAACGGGGCCCUGCGUUUAAAAGCGUGUGCCUUUUUUUUUAUUUGAAGAGGCCUCCUGCGAAGGUGGCGCCUUGUUUCAACAAGCGGAUUGCGUCGUGGCUGGUGAAAUGUUUGAGCCACAUUUUAAAAAGAAAAUAAAUAAAUUAUAUCUAAAAGACUACA